RNAcentral lists this ribosomal RNA (487 nucleotides) under uncultured bacterium. RNAcentral's name for it is "partial 16S ribosomal RNA". It matches the Rfam family "Bacterial small subunit ribosomal RNA", at positions 890 to 1378 of the family's 1533-position model. The record is from RNAcentral.
AAGGUUGNNNCUCAAAGGAAUUGACGGGGGCCCGCACAAGCGGUGGAGCAUGUGGUUUAAUUCGAAGCAACGCGAAGAACCUUACCAGGUCUUGACAUCCCUCUGACUGCUCUGGAGAUAGAGGUUUCCUUCGGGACAGAGGUGACAGGUGGUGCGUGGUUGUCGUCAGCUCGUGUCGUGAGAUNNNNNNNNNNNNNNNNCAACGAGCGCAACCCCUAUUGUUAGUUGCCAUCAUUCAGUUGGGCGCUCUAGCGAGACUGCCGGUAAUAAACCGGAGGAAGGUGGGGAUGACGUCAAAUCAUCAUGCCCCUUAUGACCUGGGCUACACACGUGCUACGAUGGCUGGUACAACGAGUCGCAAGCCGGUGACGGCAAGCUAAUCUCUGAAAGCCGGUCUCAGUUCGGAUUGUAGGCUGCAACUCGCCUACAUGAAGUCGGAAUCGCUAGUAAUCGCGGAUCAGCACGCCGCGGNGAAUACGUUCCCGGG